RNAcentral lists this ribosomal RNA (607 nucleotides) under uncultured cyanobacterium. Its description in RNAcentral is "bacterial SSU rRNA". It matches the Rfam family "Bacterial small subunit ribosomal RNA", at positions 8 to 657 of the family's 1533-position model. The record is from RNAcentral. Lineage: Bacteria; Bacillati; Cyanobacteriota.
AGAGUUUGAUCAUGGCUCAGGAUGAACGCUGGCGGUAUGCUUAACACAUGCAAGUCGAACGAAGCCCUUCGGGGUUGAGUGGCGGACGGGUGAGUAACGCGUGAGAAUCUGCCUUCAGGACUGGGACAACCACUGGAAACGGUGGCUAAUACCGGAUGAGCCGAGAGGUGAAAGAUUAAUUGCCUGAAGAUGAGCUCGCGUCUGAUUAGCUAGUUGGUGGGGUAAGAGCCUACCAAGGCGACGAUCAGUAGCUGGUCUGAGAGGAUGAUCAGCCACACUGGGACUGAGACACGGCCCAGACUCCUACGGGAGGCAGCAGUGGGGAAUUUUCCGCAAUGGGCGAAAGCCUGACGGAGCAAUACCGCGUGAGGGAGGAAGGCUCUUGGGUUGUAAACCUCUUUUCUCAGGGAAUAAGAAAGUGAAGGUACCUGAGGAAGAAGCAUCGGCUAACUCCGUGCCAGCAGCCGCGGUAAUACGGAGGAUGCAAGCGUUAUCCGGAAUGAUUGGGCGUAAAGCGUCCGCAGGUGGCUGUGUAAGUCUGCUGUCAAAGAAUUUGGCUUAACCAAAUCAAGGCAGUGGAAACUACAUGGCUAGAGUGCGUUCGGGG